Long non-coding RNA from Humulus lupulus (European hop), 2168 nucleotides. RefSeq lists it as uncharacterized. NCBI's taxonomy places the organism in Eukaryota, Viridiplantae, Streptophyta, Magnoliopsida, Rosales, Cannabaceae. The transcript is spliced from 3 exons. The record is from RefSeq and is a predicted model, not a curated record.
UCUUUGGUUUUCUUUCUAAUUUUGAUCUGCCGCACAGGUCUUCUUCUGUUCCUGUGGAUCGAGAAAGGUCUGUAUAAUUGUUUAUUUUGUUUUUUAUUUAAUGGGUCUCGUUUGAUAUUUGCCACUGCCUGAUUCUGUUCUUGGUUUUGUAGAUGUCGGUGGGUCAGUGGUGGAUUUGAGUUUUUUUUCAAUUGUGUGCAAAACAAUUGUCUAUUGGCUAUAUUUGUUCAGAUUUUCAUAUAUAAUAUCCCCUUGCAAAAGAAAUAGCUUCUUGAAUUUUGAUUUUGGAAAUCUUUACUAUUCUUCAUGUCAUGUUAGAUUUUAUUGCUUCCACUACCCUGUAGUCCAUAUGCACUUUGCAAAGAUAACUGAAGUAGACAUGUGAGAAGGAGAUCUGGAGACUUUGUGAUUUAUCUUGUUAAAAAUUGAAACUUUUUUGAUGAUGUUUAUUCUGGAUUCUCUUGUCUUCAUUGUGUUGUUUUCUUUAUUUGAUUUAUCACUAGAAUGAAAUUAUUGUGCAUAAACUGUGACUGUUUUCUAAGUUUAAGAUACCAUUAUGCUCUGGUUUACUAAUGAUAUGGUACUUAAUUUGAUUGGUUUGAAAAGUGGUAGAUAUUUGGCUGAAUUACUGGGAGAAAGGCAGAAGUUGGUGCCAUUCAUUCAAAUUUUGCCUCACUGUAACAGACUUAUUAGUCAAGGUUUAUGAAUUCUUCAAGUUUAUUACAUUUGAGAUAGUUGUUUCUUACUAUAUCUUGUGCCAGCUUUUAGUCUUUUAGUGAUCAUUUAUGUUUUGUUUUCUUGUGCUCUUUAAGCAACCCCUUAUGUUUUUUUGUUAAAAAAAGACUUUGUGAAUCUUUGGUUUCUCAAGCAUACAUGAUCAACCUAAUUUGGAUUUGCAUCUCAUAUGGGCAUUCUGAAAGUUGGCUUCUCUCUCUCUUGAUUAUUUUAUGAUUUUGCAUAUUCGGUAUCUGAAAAAGAAUUGCAGGGUUACUGCAGCAAAGAGUUAAUGGUUGAGGUGAAAUAUGUGAUAUUUAAUUGUGUCGCACCCACAAUAGAUGACACAUAUUUAAAGUGUGUUAAUAUUACACGUACACACACAAGUACGCACACACGCACACACACAUAAGAUAUAUUCCUUUUUUGCAUGCUGUACUGAUAUAUGCCAAUAACAAUUGUACAGCGUAAACAAGUUCUUUGGUACUUAAGGUCAUCUGUUCUAUUGGUUGUAAGUUGAUGUAUGCCACGAAGUGUUUAGUUUGUGAACCUGACAAACAAUCUUCUUGUUUCACACAUUUUGUGCUCAAACCGUACCUUUUUGUUUAUGCCAUCACAUAAAUUAGAUGGGUAUCAGGAGGUUUCAAUCCAAGUUUUGUAGAUCAUGAAAGACUUGAGCAUGAGAAUCCACUUCGGUCAUUAAAUCAGAUUCCAUAUGGCAGACCAAUGGAUUUGGAGGGAUGGCCUGCAAUGCAAGUGGAGAUUUUAGAAAAUUACAACAAGAAAGGCGUAAUCAUUUACAAUACCUUCAUAGGACUUCACGCCAUAGCUAUACUGAAUUGGAAGCUGAUUUACAAGCUAAGUGGGGCACGACAGAGCAUAUAGAUCGAUCUAUACUCUGGAAGGUGGCCAGAAAAGAUUCUUCUGGCAACUAUGUCACCGAGUGUGACAAGGUCAUGGGAGAGGCCAUCAUAAGUUGUAAAACGUUAAAUGAUUUUUCAUAAUUUUUUUAUAUUUUAGUAACAAACAAAUAAUUGAUUAAAUUUUGUACAGGAAGAAAUGCUUGAGCAAAGAAAAGAAGGCAAACUGAUUGAGAUCGGAACAAAUGACAUCCUAACACAAGUGUUAGGUACUGCUGAGCACCUCGGUCGAGUUCGAGGCCAGAGUCAAGGUGUCACACCAAGAGACUACUUUCAUAAGCCUAUUGGGGGGGGGGGGGGGGUCUAAGAGGCUUGCUAGAGUUACUUUUUGAAAUCAUAGCUAGAGUUUCUUGAGCGGAAGAGUCAUAGCUAGAGUAACUUUUGAAAUCAGAAUUAAAAAAAUAUACUAAUUGUAGUUUUUAGUUAGCACUUACAUAGUUAUUCCAAGUGAGUUCUAUAUUCCAUGUGAGUUAGCACUUACAUAUUUUGAUCUUGUAAUUUUUAGAGUUGGAACAUACUGAGUUCUAUUGAUUU